This is a long non-coding RNA of Mauremys mutica (yellowpond turtle), 531 nucleotides long. RefSeq lists it as uncharacterized. The transcript has 3 exons. NCBI's taxonomy places the organism in Eukaryota, Metazoa, Chordata, Testudines, Geoemydidae. The record is from RefSeq and is a predicted model, not a curated record.
UGUGGUUCCCUUUAGUGCUCAUUGAGAGUGAAGGUGAAUUUGAUUUUGACUUGUAAAGCUGGGAAUCAGUCCAGUAACAAGCUAUUCCUGCUAAAUGAGUCAACACUUAAGCUACAGACUUUCCAAGGCCUUAGUCUUCAUGGCAGGAUCCUUGUUUUAGCUGCUUGAGGGGGAACUGAACCUUUCAGAUACAGCAGAAGACAGAAAACCCUCAAGAUCUUGGAAGAAAGGGGAAGAUGCUAGUUUCAGCAGUGAAUUUUGGAACUUGCCAGCUAAGCUACCAAAGGAAAAGUGAGCUGUGGUGAUUUACUUGAUUUACCUGAAAAUGCAACUGGCUUGGGAUAUAUGGACCUGGACAGAAGGCUGUGAAAAUAACAUGGUCACAUGGAAAUAGCAGAAAACACUAAUGGGGAAAGGCACAGGAAUGUUUCUUGCGGAACGAUCAGGGGAUGGAUGAUUAGCAAAUAGGGCAACUUUUAUGUAUUUUUUUAAAAUCUAAAAUGUAUUUAUUUAUUAUUACAUGUAACAAAG